This 253-nucleotide ribosomal RNA is filed under the name uncultured bacterium. RNAcentral's name for it is "partial 16S ribosomal RNA". It matches the Rfam family "Bacterial small subunit ribosomal RNA", at positions 524 to 776 of the family's 1533-position model. The record is from RNAcentral.
UACGGGGGGGGCAAGCGUUGUUCGGAAUUACUGGGCGUAAAGGGCUCGUAGGUGGCCAACUAAGUCAGACGUGAAAUCCCCGGGCUCAACCCGGGAACUGCGUCCGAUACUGGCAGGCUUGAAUUCGGGAGAGGGAUGUGGAAUUCCAGGUGUAGCGGUGAAAUGCGUAGAUAUCUGGAGGAACACCGGUGGCGAAGGCGGCAUCCUGGACCGAUAUUGACGCUGAUGCGCGAAAGCCAGGGGAGCAAACGGG